This 986-nucleotide long non-coding RNA is filed under the name Podarcis muralis (Common wall lizard). RNAcentral's name for it is "lncRNA (ENSPMRG00000016402.1)". The record is from RNAcentral. Lineage: Eukaryota; Metazoa; Chordata; Lepidosauria; Squamata; Lacertidae.
AUGGUGCUGGCAUUCCACAAGUUGCGGGCGGAGCUGGCUAUGGUUAUGGUUUGUCUCCUAUUUACCCAGGUGGAGUCCCUGGCCAGCUGGGCUAUGGUGGCAAACCUCCCAAGCCGUAUGGCUACAGAGGCCGCAAGAGGAAGUAGCCCUGACAGACUGCCUACCAUUCACCUCAUGAACUUUGGUGCUACUGCCUGGUCUCGAAUGUACCCCCUCACCCCGAGAAAAGCAGAUUCCACCACCACCGCCAUCGUCACCGCCGCCCUGUGCCUUUCUGCCCCACAGACCCCAAACAGCCCUCCUCCCUCUCUCACUGGUGCUACACCCAGCCGCCCACUUCCUGGGCGGUGGGGGGGCCUCUUUGGUGCUGCGGCCGAGGAGGGCCGCUUUCGGAGGAGGGGGGGAAGAUGCCCGAGCACUUUAGCCCACUCCUGAGCCCUGUGGGGGGGGUCAGUAGUCACACUGGCCAGUUGGCCCCACUCCCUUUCCCAGUCUACACCCCCCCUCUCUCUCUCCAGGCUCCAGUUUUUCUGGGGGGAGAAUGCAACUGGGUUGCCAUGGGAGCCCCUCCCCUGGCACACUGCCUGCGUAUCGGCAGGGGAGGGGGAGCAGGCCGGGCUGGGGGGUCGGUGCCAACAGGAUUAACCUUAAUCCUCCAGCUGCUGCCUGUCAGGGCCGCAGCGGAUUAGCACAGCCCAGGCCACAUCCGGCCUUUCAAGCAAGAGAGCCAGAGGCCACACCGUCCAGGUCCGAGCAAAGAGGCCGUCCUGGGGGUCCCCCGCCCCUCCCCACGGGACCGUGGCCGACCUGCUCCACGACUCUUCAUGUUUAAUCACUUCGAUGUAACUGGGAUGGGACACUUUUUAUAAAGAGGAACAGUAAACCGCUUUCCGGGAAAAAAAGAAUUAAAUAAAACCUGACUAAUAAAUAACUUUUUAAAGGAACAUUUCUUGUGCUUUUUCCUCCUGGAGACGUACGGUCUGGAA